RNAcentral lists this ribosomal RNA (455 nucleotides) under uncultured Desulfocapsa sp. Its description in RNAcentral is "bacterial SSU rRNA". It matches the Rfam family "Bacterial small subunit ribosomal RNA", at positions 924 to 1382 of the family's 1533-position model. The record is from RNAcentral. Lineage: Bacteria; Pseudomonadati; Thermodesulfobacteriota; Desulfobulbia; Desulfobulbales; Desulfocapsaceae.
CACAAGCGGUGGAGUAUGUGGUUUAAUUCGACGCAACGCGCAGACCUUACCUGGUCUUGACAUCCCGGGAAUUUCCUUGAAAGAGGGAAGUGCCUCGCAAGAGGAGCCUGGAGACAGGUGCUGCAUGGCUGUCGUCAGCUCGUGUCGUGAGAUGUUGGGUUAAGUCCCGCAACGAGCGCAACCCUUAUCAUUAGUUGCUACGCAAGGGCACUCUAAUGUGACUGCCGGUGACAAACCGGAGGAAGGUGGGGAUGACGUCAAGUCCUCAUGGCCCUUAUGGGUAGGGCUUCACACGUCAUACAAUGGUCGGUACAGAGGGUUGCCAAGCCGCGAGGUGGAGCCAAUCCCAGAAAGCCGAUCGUAGUCCGGAUUGUUCUCUGCAACUCGAGAGCAUGAAGUCGGAAUCGCUAGUAAUCGCGGAUCAGCAUGUCGCGGUGAAUACGUUCCCGGGUCUU